This 377-nucleotide ribosomal RNA is filed under the name Alishewanella sp. SE-R. RNAcentral describes it as "bacterial SSU rRNA". It matches the Rfam family "Bacterial small subunit ribosomal RNA", at positions 972 to 1347 of the family's 1533-position model. Lineage: Bacteria; Pseudomonadati; Pseudomonadota; Gammaproteobacteria; Alteromonadales; Alteromonadaceae. The record is from RNAcentral.
UACGUAGUCUUGACAUCUAGCGAAGAUUGUAGAGAUAGGCAAACACGGUUGGGGAACGGUAAGACAGGUGCUGCAUGGCUGUCGUCAGCUCGUGUUGUGAAAUGUUCCGUUAAGUCCCGCAACGAGCGCAACCCUUAUCCUUAGUUGCCAGCACGUAAUGGUGGGAACUCUAGGGAGACUGCCGGUGAUAAUCGGCUGCUACCAGGGGACGACGUCAAGUCAUCAUGGCCCUUACGAGUAGGGCUACACACGUGCUACAAUGGUACGAUGUCUGGCUCCGAAGCUGGCGACANUGAGCGGAUCUCUUAAAGGCAUAGCAUCACCGGAUUGGAGUCUGCAACUCGAGUCCAAGAAGUCGGAAUCGCUACUAUUCCCAA